AUACGGAGGGUGCAAGCGUUAAUCGGAACUACUGGGCGUAAAGCGCGCGUAGGCGGUUUAGUCAGUCAGAUGUGAAAGCCCCGGGCUCAACUUGGGAACUGCAUUUGAUACUGCUGAACUAGAGUAUGGUAGAGGGAAGUGAAAUUCCGGGUGUAGCGGUGAAAUGCGUAGAUAUCCGGAGGAACACCAGUGGCGAAGGCGACUUCCUGGACCAAUACUGACGCUGAGGUGCGAAAGCGUGGGUAGCAAACAGGAUUAGAAACCCGAGUAGUCC
This 274-nucleotide ribosomal RNA is filed under the name uncultured bacterium. RNAcentral's name for it is "partial 16S ribosomal RNA". It matches the Rfam family "Bacterial small subunit ribosomal RNA", at positions 523 to 796 of the family's 1533-position model. The record is from RNAcentral.